RNAcentral lists this unclassified non-coding RNA (239 nucleotides) under Acrodontium sp. RNAcentral's name for it is "partial contains 5.8S ribosomal RNA, internal transcribed spacer 2, and large subunit ribosomal RNA". Lineage: Eukaryota; Fungi; Ascomycota; Dothideomycetes; Mycosphaerellales; Teratosphaeriaceae. The record is from RNAcentral.
AACGCACAUUGCGCCCCUUGGUAUUCCGGGGGCACGCCUGUUCGAGCGUCAUUACACCCCUCAAGCCUGGCUUGGCCUUGGGCUCCGCCGUUCGUUCGGCGGGCCUUAAAAUCAGUGGCGGUGCCUCCGCGGCCCUGAGCGUAGUAAAUUUCCUCGCUUUGGACCCGGUGGCUACUGGCCAGUAACCCCUAACUUCUAAGUUUGACCUCGGAUCAGGUAGGGAUACCCGCUGAACUUAA